UGGACAAUACUCUUUGAAGGUUAUAUCCUGAGGAGCUUAAAGAUCAACUUGUGUACAACUCUGCUGCAGCGCACCAUGCCGAUCAACUUGUGUACAACUCUGCUGCAGCGCAUCAUGCCGAUCAACUUGUAUACAACUUUGCUGCAGCGCAUCAUGCCGUUUCGACAUUUUGCCAUAAAAAUGUUCAUCUCUAAAUGACCUCAGAAUUCUUCUAUUAAGGGUAAUAUGGUUGGUCCGGUAUAUUUUAUAUAUGUGAUAUACA
This is a non-coding RNA of Linepithema humile (Argentine ant), 262 nucleotides long. The record is from RefSeq and is a predicted model, not a curated record. Lineage: Eukaryota; Metazoa; Arthropoda; Insecta; Hymenoptera; Formicidae.